GGAGCCGUCUAAACGAUCGCCGGAUCUCUGAGAUCCGGAGGAAAGUCCGAACACCAUAGGGCAGGGUGCUCCAUAACGUGGAGUCGUGGUGACGCGAAGGAAAGUGCAACAGAAAGUAAACCGCCCCCGCUUCAAGCGCUGUUUGGAGCGGGAGUAAGGGUGAAACGGUGCGGUAAGAGCGCACCAGUUCUCCGGGUGACCGGAGAAGCUCGGCAAACCCCACCCGGUGCAAGACCAAAUAGAGGAGCGUUUGAGGACUGCCCGUCCGAGCUCCCGGGUAGGUCGCAAGAGGCGUCGGGCAACCGGCGCCCUAGAUGAAUGAUCGUUACCUGAAACAGGGCAACCGGUUUCAGGGACAGAAUUCGGCUUACGGGCGACUCCGGCC
Molecule: RNase P RNA, 385 nt
Filed under: Desulfobacteraceae bacterium
Lineage: Bacteria; Pseudomonadati; Thermodesulfobacteriota; Desulfobacteria; Desulfobacterales; Desulfobacteraceae
Description: RNase P RNA component class A
Rfam family: Bacterial RNase P class A
About the family: Ribonuclease P (RNase P) is a ubiquitous endoribonuclease, found in archaea, bacteria and eukarya as well as chloroplasts and mitochondria. Its best characterised activity is the generation of mature 5'-ends of tRNAs by cleaving the 5'-leader elements of precursor-tRNAs.
Source: RNAcentral